This 288-nucleotide long non-coding RNA is filed under the name Nicotiana benthamiana. RNAcentral's name for it is "long non-coding RNA (NBEN_LNC025809)". Lineage: Eukaryota; Viridiplantae; Streptophyta; Magnoliopsida; Solanales; Solanaceae. The record is from RNAcentral.
CAUUUUCUUUUUGUUUUUAAGCCUAUUGGCCGACAUUGGCAUUAAGACUUAAUGAAUUUAUUCACAUAUACCUACUUUCUUUAUUCAUUCACUAAUACCUACGGUUGAAACAGAACCGGACUUUGUUGGUUCUGUGCCGAUAGUGUUCUCUCGUCUUUCAAAUGGUGAAUCACCGAAGCCAAAUCCAUCUUGCGCAGACGGGAGACGAUGAUCGAAGUCAGACUUGAGUAUGGGACGAGAACUCGCUCAUUUUGAUCCCCUUGUUGACCAAGCAAGGUCGCACUGAGA